Molecule: small RNA, 27 nt
Filed under: Bombyx mori (domestic silkworm)
Lineage: Eukaryota; Metazoa; Arthropoda; Insecta; Lepidoptera; Bombycidae
Description: ovarian small RNA-6763
Source: RNAcentral
UCAAGAAAUUGUGCGAUUGGUUGGUAU